UACAGAGGCCUCGAGCGUUGUUCGGAAUUACUGGGCGUAAAGCGAAUGUAGGUGGUGACGUAAGUCAGAUGUGAAAGCCCAGGGCUUAACCCUGGAAAUGCAUUUGAUACUGCGUUGCUAGAGUGUGAGAGAGGAAAGGGGAAUUCCUAGUGUAGGAGUGAAAUCCGUAGAUAUUAGGAGGAAUACCGAUGGCGAAGGCACCUUUCUGGUUCAUUACUGACACUGAGAUUCGACAGCGUGGGGAGCAAACAGG
This 253-nucleotide ribosomal RNA is filed under the name uncultured bacterium. RNAcentral's name for it is "partial 16S ribosomal RNA". It matches the Rfam family "Bacterial small subunit ribosomal RNA", at positions 524 to 776 of the family's 1533-position model. The record is from RNAcentral.